GACGAACGCUGGCGGCGUGCCUAAUACAUGCAAGUAGAACGCUGAAGGAGGAGCUUGCUUCUCUGGAUGAGUUGCGAACGGGUGAGUAACGCGUAGGUAGCCUGCCUGGUAGCGGGGGAUAACUAUUGGAAACGAUAGCUAAUACCGCAUAAGAGUAGAUGUUGCAUGACAUUUGCUUAAAAGGUGCAAUUGCAUCACUACCAGAUGGCCCUGCGUUGUAUUAGCUAGUUGGUGAGGUAACGGCUCACCAAGGCAACGAUACAUAGCCGACCUGAGAGGGUGAGCGGCCACACUGGGACUGAGACACGGCCCAGACCCCUACGGGAGGGAGCAGUAGGGAAUCUUCGGCAAUGGACGGAAGUCUGACCGAGCAACGCCGCGUGAGUGAAGAAGGUUGUCGGAUCGUAAAGCUCUGUUGUAAGAGAAGAACGAGUGUGAGAGUGGAAAGUUCACACUGUGACGGUAUCUGACCAGAAAGGGACGGCUAACUACGUG
RNAcentral lists this ribosomal RNA (495 nucleotides) under uncultured bacterium. RNAcentral's name for it is "partial 16S ribosomal RNA". It matches the Rfam family "Bacterial small subunit ribosomal RNA", at positions 28 to 507 of the family's 1533-position model. The record is from RNAcentral.